RNAcentral lists this ribosomal RNA (443 nucleotides) under uncultured bacterium. Its description in RNAcentral is "partial 16S ribosomal RNA". It matches the Rfam family "Bacterial small subunit ribosomal RNA", at positions 338 to 795 of the family's 1533-position model. The record is from RNAcentral.
CCUACGGGUGGCAGCAGUGGGGAAUAUUGGGCAAUGGACGCAAGCCUGACCCAGCAACGCCGCGUGAAGGAAGAAGGCUUUCGGGUUGUAAAGUUCUUUUAUCAGGGACGAAGGAAAUGACGGUACCCAAGGAAUAAGCCACGGCUAACUACGUGCCAGCAGCCGCGGUAAUACGUAGGGGGCAAGCGUGAUCCGGAUGUACUGGGGGUAAAGGUGGUGUAGGCGGGGAAGCAAGUAAGAGGUGAAAACCAUGGGCUUAACCCGGGGACUGGUUUUGAAACUGCUUUUCUUGAGUGCAGGAGAGGAAAGCGGAAUUCCUAGUGUAGCGGUGAAAUGCGUAGAUAUUAGGAGGAACACCAGUGGCGAAGGCGGCUUGCUGGACUGUAACUGACGCUGAGGCGCGAAAGCGUGGGGAGCAAACAGGAUUAGAUACCCCAGUAGUC